This 1045-nucleotide ribosomal RNA is filed under the name Peribacillus simplex. Its description in RNAcentral is "bacterial SSU rRNA". It matches the Rfam family "Bacterial small subunit ribosomal RNA", at positions 34 to 1059 of the family's 1533-position model. Lineage: Bacteria; Bacillati; Bacillota; Bacilli; Caryophanales; Bacillaceae. The record is from RNAcentral.
CGGGGGGGGGGUUGCCUAAUACAUGCAAGUCGAGCGAAUCGAUGGGAGCUUGCUCCCUGAGAUUAGCGGCGGACGGGUGAGUAACACGUGGGCAACCUGCCUAUAAGACUGGGAUAACUUCGGGAAACCGGAGCUAAUACCGGAUACGUUCUUUUCUCGCAUGAGAGAAGAUGGAAAGACGGUUUACGCUGUCACUUAUAGAUGGGCCCGCGGCGCAUUAGCUAGUUGGUGAGGUAAUGGCUCACCAAGGCGACGAUGCGUAGCCGACCUGAGAGGGUGAUCGGCCACACUGGGACUGAGACACGGCCCAGACUCCUACGGGAGGCAGCAGUAGGGAAUCUUCCGCAAUGGACGAAAGUCUGACGGAGCAACGCCGCGUGAACGAAGAAGGCCUUCGGGUCGUAAAGUUCUGUUGUUAGGGAAGAACAAGUACCAGAGUAACUGCUGGUACCUUGACGGUACCUAACCAGAAAGCCACGGCUAACUACGUGCCAGCAGCCGCGGUAAUACGUAGGUGGCAAGCGUUGUCCGGAAUUAUUGGGCGUAAAGCGCGCGCAGGUGGUUCCUUAAGUCUGAUGUGAAAGCCCACGGCUCAACCGUGGAGGGUCAUUGGAAACUGGGGAACUUGAGUGCAGAAGAGGAAAGUGGAAUUCCAAGUGUAGCGGUGAAAUGCGUAGAGAUUUGGAGGAACACCAGUGGCGAAGGCGACUUUCUGGUCUGUAACUGACACUGAGGCGCGAAAGCGUGGGGGAGCAAACAGGAUUAGAUACCCUGGUAGUCCACGCCGUAAACGAUGAGUGCUAAGUGUUAGAGGGUUUCCGCCCUUUAGUGCUGCAGCUAACGCAUUAAGCACUCCGCCUGGGGAGUACGGCCGCAAAGCUGAAACUCAAAGGAAUUGACGGGGGCCCGCACAAGCGGUGGAGCAUGUGGUUUAAAUUCGAAGCAACGCGAAGAACCUUACCAGGUCUGACAUCUCUGACAACCCUAGAGAUAGGGCUUUCCUCUUCGGGGACAGAGUGACAGGUGGUGCAUGGUUGUCGUCAGC